RNAcentral lists this ribosomal RNA (656 nucleotides) under Flagellimonas beolgyonensis. RNAcentral's name for it is "bacterial SSU rRNA". It matches the Rfam family "Bacterial small subunit ribosomal RNA", at positions 718 to 1379 of the family's 1533-position model. Lineage: Bacteria; Pseudomonadati; Bacteroidota; Flavobacteriia; Flavobacteriales; Flavobacteriaceae. The record is from RNAcentral.
AAGGCAGGUGACCAACCAUGUACUGACGCUGAUGGACGAAAGCGUGGGUAGCGAACGGGAUUAGAUACCCCGGUAGUCCACGCCGUAAACGAUGGAUACUAGCUGUGGGGACCUCGGUCUCCGUGGCCAAGCGAAAGUGAUAAGUAUCCCACCUGGGGAGUACGACCGCAAGGUUGAAACUCAAAGGAAUUGACGGGGGCCCGCACAAGCGGUGGAGCAUGUGGUUUAAUUCGAUGAUACGCGAGGAACCUUACCAGGGCUUAAAUGCAGGCUGCAUGGGGUGGAGACAUCCCUUUCUUCGGACCGCCUGCAAGGUGCUGCAUGGUUGUCGUCAGCUCGUGCCGUGAGGUGUCAGGUUAAGUCCUAUAACGAGCGCAACCCCUACCGUUAGUUGCCAGCAUGUCAAGAUGGGGACUCUAACGGGACUGCCGGUGCAAACCGUGAGGAAGGUGGGGACGACGUCAAAUCAUCACGGCCCUUACGUCCUGGGCCACACACGUGCUACAAUGGCCGGUACAGAGGGAAGCCACCCCGCAAGGGGGCGCGGAUCUACAAAACCGGUCACAGUUCGGAUCGGGGUCUGCAACUCGACCCCGUGAAGCUGGAAUCGCUAGUAAUCGGAUAUCAGCCAUGAUCCGGUGAAUACGUUCCCGGGC